GAUUAAGCAGUUCAAAUGACACUCUACGGGAAUCCUAAAAAGGCAAAGCAGGGCUGCUCACUACAGGCAGUGACACCACUGGAGACCCAGGGAUUACACAGAUCACCAUGGAUCCACCGUCAGAAAACACGGAGAAAUAUUACCUUAUGUUUUGUCAUUGCACCAACGAUGAGUGGGCACACCAUUCCCGACAGCGUCCCCACACCAUUGGAGAUGCCCAUCAGAAUGCUGGCAUAACGAGGGGCUAUGUCCAAGUGAUUCACAUUGAAGCCUACAAAAAGGAGACAAACAGCUGUACAGCAUUGCACUACCAGGCAACAGGGCUUUCUACAGACAUUCUGGCUGAAGAAGACUGAAAAGGCAUACAGUUAAACAGGAUGAAAAGGUGACUGACAGUGUAAAAGUAUAUUAGAAAAUAACAGCAUAAAGCUGACGUAAAUUGGGAUCAAUAAAGAGCAGGUUCUUUCAAAGCUCCAGAAUCCCAGAAUUGUUGAGAUUGGAAGGAGCUCCUUCUGCUGAAGCUGGAUUGCCUAGAGAAUGUUGCCCAGAAAUGUUGGCCAGACAGCUCCUGAGUAUCUCCAAGGAUGGAGAUUCCACAACCACUCUGAGGAACCUGUUCCAGUACACAGUCAUCCUCAUAGCAAAAAAGUGUUUCCUCAUGUUCAGAAGGAACGUCCCAUGUUUCAGUUCGUGCCCAGAACACUUACUGAAAAGAGCCUAUUUUCAUCUUUACACUCUCCUUUCAGAUAUUUGUACUUAUGGAUGAGAACCCUGCUGAGCCUUCUCUUUUCCAGGCUAAACAGUCCCAGCUCUCUCAGCCUUUGCUCAUAGGAGAAAUAUUUCCACUCCUUCAUGGCACUUCAUUGGACUCGCUCCACUAUAUAUCCUUGUCUUUCUUGUACUGUGGAGUCCAGCACUGGACACAGUACUUCAGGUGUGCCCUCACCAAUGCUGUGUAGAGGGGAAAGAUCACCUCCUUUUACCUGGUGGCCUUUUCAUGAUGCAGCCCAGGAUGCCAUUUGUCUUUACUGCAAGCAUACACUGCUGGCUCAUGUCCAGCCUGGUGUUCAGCAGGACCCCUAAGUCCUUUCCAGCUUUGCUGCUUUCCAGCUGGGCAGAUCCCCACAGGUACUGGUGCACUUGCUUAUUCUUCCCCAGGUGCAGGACUUUACACUUUCCCUUACUGGGCUCCAUGAGGCUCCUGUCAGCCUACUUUACCAGCCUGCCAGGGCUCCUCUGUACAGUAGCACAACCCUGCAGUGUAGCAGCUACUGCUCCUGGUUUUGUGUCAUUGCAAACCUGCUGAGCGUACACUCUGCUGCAUCAUCCAGGUCUUUAAUGAAGAUGCCAAAUAGGAUCAGACUCAGUACAACCCCUGAGACAGAGUUUAGUGAUCAGCAUGUCAUCUUCUGGAAGCUUUUCUUUGAAGCAGUAAAUUAGUGAGAAGUUUGAAUUUACUUUCUUCAGUGUGCAACCUUCUUACAUUGACAGUGGGUUUUACAUUGGUUUUAAAUUAGUGCAGUUCACAGAGAUGCAACUCUAGCAUUAAUGAAAAUCAGCUCUGAUUAAAUAGAUGGGUUUUUUUCUCAAUAGCCCUCUUUUUCAUUUCCAUGCUGCACUUGGCCAUUUAGAAUGUCAUUGCUACCAUGCCACAACCAUUGCUUCUCUUGCAGAACCUGGGCACACAGUGCUCCCAGAACAGAUAAAUAAUGAUCUUUGUUAUCAGCCUUCAACUUGCUUAAAAAUAAUUACCACAUAGCAAGUAUGGUUGCUAAAUAAAAGAGUUUUUAAAACUUUUCUAAAUUAAUUAUUCUGUAUUCCUCAUUCAUGCCCUGAAGAGGAAGUAUAACAAUUCUGAUUUUAAUGAAGUGAUGGUGGCACGGAAUAUAAACCUAUAAAGAACUUGAUCUUCAUUGCUAAUGACAAGUCACAAAAAUCAAGAAGAGGAUAAAAAUUACCUGAUUAAAUGCUGAAUGGUCAACAAUAAACAAAAUGUACAUUUCUAUUUACUUACUUUGCGGUUUUUCAUGAUAUGCGGGAGCUUUUAAUCAACUGUUUCUCAAAAUAACUUCUCCAUUCUCUCCUUUUUCUAAUAAUUUCAUGCUCACAUACUGUUAUUUCUAUCAGGUCAGUAGAAGUAUGUAAUCCCAAAUACUGGGAAUAAUCUACUGUAAUGAUUCCAGGUCUCUCUGGCUCUCCUUAAACAACUAAACUAUAGCACUAAGUGCCAUGCCCAGUUAUUUCUUGCACAUCUCCAGAUAUAAUAUUCACCUCCUCUCUGGGCAGACCAUUCUAAUAUUUAACCACCCUUUCAGUGAAGGAAUUCUUCCUGAUGUUCAACCUGAACCUCCCAUACUUCAUAAGGUCACUGCUUAUUCUCAAAUAUUUACCUUGCUUAUUGCAAAUCCAAAGACUUCUUCAAAGUAAGCAGGCUGACUUAUAAGGAGCAAAUAGAAGGUCCAGCUUCUGCAGAAGUUUGCCACAAUGAUUGCAUAAACUGGCAUUGAAGUGAAAAAUCUCUUCCAUGGAGUACUAAAUUUCUAGGGGAGAAAAAAACCUCACAAAAUUGGGUAGAUAGAGGCAAAAUAAAGAACCAAUAUCUUUUAUUAUCAAGCCUAUUAGAUACAUUGCAUACAAUUUACAUCGCAGAUCACUUAAAAUGCAAGAUAUCUCUUGAAUUACUGGUAAAAAUGAGAAAUUUUCUUAGAAGUUAGGAUUUUUAAGGUGGACACUGCACUGCUAUUACCCUGCUUACUGAAAUUACAAGAGGUCUUCCAGAAUCCUGCUAGUGGGAUAACAGGAUCAGUAAAGAAUCAAAGAAAACUAGAGAAAACCUUGUGCCAUUCCCAACUUUUUGGCUUGAUGCAGUUUGAGAUAUUCUAUUGAAAGGAGUGGGGGAAAAGGGUUGUCCAAGCUAAGACACAUGCAGUAGCACAGCAACAAGCAGCUACCUGCUUCAACCUAAUUAGUUUAAUUCAGAAAAAAAGACCUGUGGUACAGAAUUUAAUUUUUGUAACUUGCUUUUUUGGCAUUUUUAAUUAGUAUUAUGCUCCAAUACUCCAUACAGCAGGAAACACUUCAGAAACAUAUUGUUUUUUAAUGGAAUUCCAA
This is a long non-coding RNA of Passer domesticus (house sparrow), 3111 nucleotides long. RefSeq lists it as uncharacterized. The record is from RefSeq and is a predicted model, not a curated record. NCBI's taxonomy places the organism in Eukaryota, Metazoa, Chordata, Aves, Passeriformes, Passeridae. The transcript has 4 exons.